AGCAAAUAGAUACCCGGGUAGUCCACGCCCUAAACGAUGUCUACUAGUUGUUGGUGGAGUAAAAUCCAUGAGUAACGCAGCUAAACGCGUGAAGUAGACCGCCUGGGGAGUACGGUCGCAAGAUUAAAACUCAAGGAAUUGACGGGGGCCCGCACAAGCGGUGGAUUAUGUGGAUUAAAUUCGAUGCAACGCGAACAACCUUACCUGGCCUUGACAUGCCACUAACGAAGCAGAGAUGCAUUAGGUGCCCGUAAGGGAAAGUGGACACAGGUGCUGCAUGGCUGUCGUCAGCUCGUGUCGUGAGAUGUUGGGUUAAGUCCCGCAACGAGCGCAACCCUUGCCAUUAAUUGCCAUCAUUUAGUUGGGCACUUUAAUGGGACUGCCGGUGACAAACCGGAGGAAGGUGGGGAUGACGUCAAGUCCUCAUGGCCCUUAUGGCCAGGGCUUCACACGUAAUACAAUGGUCGGUACAGAGAGUUGCCAACCCG
RNAcentral lists this ribosomal RNA (488 nucleotides) under uncultured bacterium. RNAcentral describes it as "bacterial SSU rRNA". It matches the Rfam family "Bacterial small subunit ribosomal RNA", at positions 767 to 1257 of the family's 1533-position model. The record is from RNAcentral.